UGGCGGGAGAAGCUCAGCAUGCUGGAGUUCACCUUCACGCGGGUGAGCCUGGCGCUGGGUCCGCUGGGCCCGUGGUCGGUGGACAUCGACGACGGCAAGUGGGACCAGGUCAAGGCGGCGGAGCAGACGGCGAGCGAGGGCCAGGGCAUGGUGGAGAAGAAGGGCGGCUCGAAGGCC
Molecule: small nuclear RNA, 177 nt
Filed under: uncultured eukaryote
Lineage: Eukaryota
Description: partial Dictyostelium signal recognition particle
Source: RNAcentral